Molecule: long non-coding RNA, 2202 nt
Organism: Xenopus laevis (African clawed frog)
Lineage: Eukaryota; Metazoa; Chordata; Amphibia; Anura; Pipidae
Exons: 2
Source: RefSeq, a predicted model, not a curated record
AAUAUUUACUGGCAAAACAUGCAAGAACUGGGAAUCGGGGCUGGGGACACUACAGGGGGAAAAAUUAAAUAAUAUGUUGCACAUCCAUGAGGGCUUAAUGCUCUUGUGUCUACUGAUGUCUGCUGUUUAUAAGCACUGAUAAAAACAAGUCUAUAGUAUAAACUUUUAGUGAAUAUACAUUACAUACACAUGCACACAUGUACAUUUACAGAUAUAUGGGGGAACCCAAAGUAGAAAUCUUUUUUUACAAUCUCUGCCAUUUCACUGAUGUUUCAGCCUGCUUGAUAAGAAGCAGAGCAAACACAGAGGUUUGGGGCAAGGUCACUGGCAUCUACUGAUCUGAUACAAAUACCGCAGCAGCCCCCUUUUUUCUGAUCCCUGCACCAACAGCCCUUCUCCUCCUCCCCUUCCUUCUCCACGUGCUUUCUCUGUGCAGCCCACCCUUCCCCUGUCUGUCAGGCACAGCUCAUCACGGACUGCUAGUUGCAGAGUACAGCCAGCUCUUGUAGAGAAGGGAGAUCAAUGCUUUUUCCAUUGUUUCAUGCUGAACUCCACGGCAUUGACUGCAGGGAGCCAGCAACCUUGUCCAGCUCUGAGCUCAUCAGCAAAACUGUCCAGUGACGAGCAUAGCAGCUUGCCCAGCAAAAUGGCAUGAGUUGAUCUCCUUACUAGACGUUGGUAGAGGCGACACCUCAUGACAACAUGUCAGGACUCAGCCCUUCAGCUUCUUUGCCAGAAGAAAUGGGAAAUGGCACAUUUUUGGAACUGUUUCCAACCUCCCUCUCCACCUCAGUAGAUUCAUCAUCGUCCAGCCGAUUGUCAAACGUUUAUGUCUAUGUGUCCAUCUUCCUCAGUUUGUUAGCCUUUCUCCUCUUGCUAUUAAUUAUUGCACUUCAGAGACUGAAAAACAUCAUCUCGUCCACGUCCUCUUACCCAGAAUACACUAGUGAGGCGGGGAGCUCCUUCACCAAUUUGGAAGUGUGUAGCAUUUCCUCACAGCAGUCUUCUUUUUCCAACCUUUCUUCUUAGGGAUCGGAAACAAACGAAAAGCAUAAAAACAUACUGCAUGAGACUUUAAAAGCUAAAAACAGAACAAAAAAAAUAUAUCCGGCUAGCUCUAUUUUUAUUGUCGGUUCGUCUAAGGAUAAUGUUGGCUUUUUUUUCCAUCGGCUUGUAUUCAUAUGGCACUUAAUGAGCCUAUGCAGGAAUUCACCACUCAUGAUAUAACAAACAUAAGUGUAAUUAUUUCAUAUACAUUGAUUGAGCAUACUACAUUUUCUAAAAAAAAAAACAAAUGACAUACAUAUUUUGAAAUUGGUAUUUUAAAGGGAAAACAAAUUCAAGAUUUUUACAUACAUCACAGAAACGUAUAUUUCACCAUAUUUCCCAACUUUAUUUAUUGGUUAAUAUACCAUAAAAACCCCCCAGCUUCCUGUAAGAUGUCAGCUGAGAUUUCCAGGAUGGCUUUUUUUCUUUAUCCCAAAAUAUAAAAGGAGGUUAAAGUGCCUGCACAGGAAUGUGUUCAUUAUCAGAAAUAAAACCCAAUGUAAAUUAUUCUGCCAAUAUCCUUGGAAGACAUAAAUGCAAAGAGAAGAGUUUUCUGUAGUAAAGUCAAGGGCAACUAAUUGUUACCUCCUCUAUGAAGCUUACACAUUCUUUAACUAAUAGUUGUGUCAUCACAGAUUAAAGUUAUAUAUUGAGAUAUGUUUUAAUAAAAAUAUAUAUAUAUAUAUAUAUAUAUAUAUAUAUAUAUAUAUAUAUAUAUAUAUAUAACUUUGUAACUAGAGGUUUACUUCCUAUCUAAACUAUAUAUAUAUUAUCCAUUGUUAAACAUGAAACAAUUAGUAGAAACACAAGCAAAUUGAAGGUAACUAUCAAGUUAUCAUAAUGUUUCAGGAAUUAGCAGCCGUUUCCAUAUUUGUAGACUGAUCCUUGCUAUAAGAGCCAUAUAAUAAAACUUUUAUUUGGUGCCUUUUCCAUUGGAUAGAACACUUUUCAGAAGGUAUUUCCUUUUGAGGUGUUAUGUUCAAACGCAAAAGUACAAUACAUGUAAAUAGGCAAUGCAUGGUUCUUUUUAUUCAUACGUGCUACAAUUAUUGGCCAGGAUGCAGAACUCAAAAAUUGUCGUUGUCUGUAUUUAACUGGAAGCAUUUGUAAAAGGCAUCGCUCUGAAUAAGCUCUAUAAUAAAUGACAUUUGCUGC